RNAcentral lists this non-coding RNA (28 nucleotides) under Rattus norvegicus (Norway rat). Lineage: Eukaryota; Metazoa; Chordata; Mammalia; Rodentia; Muridae. The record is from RNAcentral.
UAUUCAAUUGGGGUUGUCUUACAGGUUC